This is an RNA transcript of Nicotiana tabacum (common tobacco), 1647 nucleotides long. RefSeq lists it as uncharacterized. Lineage: Eukaryota; Viridiplantae; Streptophyta; Magnoliopsida; Solanales; Solanaceae. The record is from RefSeq and is a predicted model, not a curated record.
AAAAAAAAAUGGAAGGAAAAAAUCAGUGACAGCUACAAAUUCGAGACAAAAAAUGGAAAAUGCAAGUCACAAUGAUGUUGAUUCUCUUCGCAGAAAUAUUCAAGAGCUUAGAGAUAUUCAAAGAAGUUGUAUUGAAGAUCCAGAGUCCUGCGAUUUAGAAUUGAAGAAAUUACUGGAAGAUUCUACACUUCAAUUUAAGAGCAAAGUGGAACAAUUAUUGUAUGAUGCCUCAGAGAUCAACUUCUCGUCUGAUCAGGAUAUAGAUGAAUUUUGGGAAUAUUUGAAGAAUGAGCUAAGCACAGAGGAGGCUAAAAAUGCAAAAAUAGCAGAUGAAAUUGAGGGGCUUUCAAGGGAAUAUGUUGAAGGUUAUAGCAAAUUGGUGGACGGGAUUGAAGGCCUAAGUUGUUCUUUGGAGCUCAUUGAAUCACAGGGACUUGAACAAGGAAGAGUACUGGCAAAUUUUGCUUGUUCGACAACUGGAGAAGAUAAUGGAAACUUGUCAAAUACAUCUGUGGAAUAUAACUUUAAGAUCUUAGAAUUAGGCAAUCAGCUUGAGGAGAGCGAAAUGAAUUUGAAGUCAUUGCAAGAUCUCGAGAAUACUUUCAACAGGCUUGAGGCUAUGGAGGAGUUUGAAGAUGCAUGUUCUGGUCUUAAGAUAGUUGAAUUUGAGGGGAACUGCAUCAGAUUAUCUUUGAGAACUUCUAUCCCAAACUUAGAAAGCUUGUUGCAUAACCAAAAUAUAGUUGAUGUUGUUGAAACACCAGAGAAGAAUCAUGAGUUGUUAAUUGAACUGAUGGACGGAACCAAGGAGCUAAAACAUGCCGAGAUUUUCCCAAAUGAUGUAUAUAUAAGUGAAAUAACUGAUGCUGCAAAAUCUUUCAGACAGGCCUAUUCUGUGGCAGUUCUUGAAAAUAGAUGUUUUUUGGAGUGGUUGGUUAGAAGGGUGCAAGAUCGAAUUGUUCUUUGCACAUUAAGGCAAUUUUUGGUGAAGAGCGCAAAUAAUGCAAGGCAUUCAUUUGAAUACGUGGAUAGAGAGGAGAUGAUAGUAGCUCAUAUGAUUGGUGGAAUCGAUGCUUUCAUAAAGCCACUUCAAGGUUGGCCACUAACCAGCUCUGGUUUAACGCUGAUGUCUCUGAAGAGCUCAAGUCACUCCUCAAAAGAAAUACCUUUGACCGUCCUUUGCAAGGUUGCGGAAGUGGCAAACUCGUUGGAUACAAAUUCACGACAGACUAUCUCAGUCUUCGCGGAUAGAGUUGAAGAGAUACUUAUGCAGCAAAUGAGUGCAGUAACUUCAAACUGAAAAUAUUCCAGAAGAUGACUUCUUCCCUGCUUUGUGUCUGUAGUCUGUACUCAUUUUGAUCCCUGUUGAUUACCCGUUCGAGGUUAUUGCGACAAAUGAAACUCCAAGUACAGCAUCGGCAAGAUGUUAUAUACAUGGAAUUGAGACUCGCGACGAAAUCAUAAUGACACCAGAUCAUUAUGCUGAAUUCAUUUGGAGCAUUAUUCCUGGAGGGGAUUACACCCUUUCUUGUGACGUGAAAUUAGGGGAGAAACAUGGGUUUUCCAGUUGUUUAACUUGAAUAAUACUAACAUUUGUCACUCUUGAUGUAUUUUGUUAUUGGAAUGUACAUGAAGAUGGAUUAUGCA